RNAcentral lists this ribosomal RNA (1137 nucleotides) under Triticum aestivum (bread wheat). RNAcentral describes it as "partial small subunit ribosomal RNA". Lineage: Eukaryota; Viridiplantae; Streptophyta; Magnoliopsida; Poales; Poaceae. The record is from RNAcentral.
AUGCAUUCGGUUCCAAAGCUUGUGAGUAAGAUGAUGGCCUCUAGAUUGGCUCUAGAAAUACAUGGGCUUGUCACGAACAAUCAAAGUGCUUUCAUAAGAGGUCGAGCUAUCCAAGACAACUUUUUAUAUGUCAAGAAUGUUAUCAAGGCGGCUCACUCUGCAAAAUUCCCCCUUGUGUUCCUGAAGUUGGAUAUAGCUAAAGCUUUUGAUUCUGUGGGGUGGGGAUAUUUACUCGAGGUCAUGGAGGCAAUGGGCUUUGGGCAGCGGUGGCGCGAUAUGGUGUCGCUCAUUUUGUCAACCUCCUCGUCAAGGGUCUUGCUCAAUGGAUCACCAGGAGUUCCAUUUCUUCACAGAAGGGGGCUGCGUCAGGGGGAUCCUCUAUCCCCGCUGCUCUUCAUCAUCGCAAUGGAGCCACUGCAAAGACUACUGACUAUGGCCACAGACAGACGAAUUCUCUCGCCUUUGAGAUCUCAUGUUGCUCGGUUCAGGUCAAGCUUUUACGCUGAUGACACUGCUCUGUUCAUCAAUCCAACUCUGGAGGAUUUUAUGGCUGUUCAACAAAUAUUACUGCUGUUUGGUAAUGCCUCGGGCCUCACUACAAAUAUGGAGAAAACAGUGGCAUACCCUAUUGCGUGCACAACCAAUGAUAUCGCCCCCAUGAUAGCGCAGUUUGGUGGGCUGCCAGGAUCUUUCCCUUGCCAGUAUUUGGGCUUGCCGCUGGGUAUCAGGAAGCCGAGGAGGGCUGAGGUUCAGCCGGUGAUUGAUAAGAUUGCAGGAAAACUCUCUCCCCGAAAGGGGCGCCUGAUGAACAGAAUGGGAAGGUUGAUCUACAUCAACUCGGUCGUCACAGCCACAACCACCUUUUUCUUGACGGUUCUCCAACCAGACAAGUGGUUCAUCAAAAGAGUUGACAAGCUCAGGAGAAAUUUCCUAUGGGAGUCGGAGGAUGCAUCGACUGGUGGCAAAAGCCUGGUAAACUGGGCACAGAUAUGCUCCCCCAAAAAAUAUGGAGGCCUUGGGGUGAAGAACAUCGACUGUUUCAGCAGGGCGCUUCGGUUGCGCUGGGAGUGGUUUAAAUGGGAUGAUGUUGAUCGGCCUUGGAAGGGUUCCACCACACCAACUGAUGUUGUGGACAAG